This 67-nucleotide transfer RNA is filed under the name Desmodillus auricularis (Cape short-eared gerbil). Its description in RNAcentral is "tRNA-Leu". It matches the Rfam family "tRNA". Rfam says of the family: Transfer RNA (tRNA) molecules are approximately 80 nucleotides in length. Lineage: Eukaryota; Metazoa; Chordata; Mammalia; Rodentia; Muridae. The record is from RNAcentral.
GCUUUUAUAGGAUAAAAUAAUCCAUUGGCCUUAGAAUCCAAAAACUCAAACACAUUUGAUAAAAGCA